GCAAGUAUGCUGGAAUUGGUAGACAGGUGGUUCUUAAGCAACCAUGAUUUCAAAUCAUAUGGGUUCAAUUCCCAUUACUUGUA
This is a transfer RNA of Microbotryum lychnidis-dioicae p1A1 Lamole, 83 nucleotides long. It matches the Rfam family "tRNA". From Rfam's summary of the family: Transfer RNA (tRNA) molecules are approximately 80 nucleotides in length. NCBI's taxonomy places the organism in Eukaryota, Fungi, Basidiomycota, Microbotryomycetes, Microbotryales, Microbotryaceae. The record is from Rfam.